This is a long non-coding RNA of Oreochromis aureus, 312 nucleotides long. RefSeq lists it as uncharacterized. The record is from RefSeq and is a predicted model, not a curated record. The transcript is spliced from 3 exons. NCBI's taxonomy places the organism in Eukaryota, Metazoa, Chordata, Actinopteri, Cichliformes, Cichlidae.
GCCCUCCGAUCCAGCCAAAUUCAAUACUGAGGGGCCACAGUGGAGGAGUCACGUGUCUGGCUUUCAGUCCAGAUGGUGCACAGCUGCUGUCUGGUGGAAAAGAUCAGGCUCUGAUGGUGUGGGAUGUGACUGCUCCUGCUGUUCGUUCUAAGACUCUGCCUCAUGCUCACCGAGACUGGAUCACAGGCUGCGUUUGGACUCCAGACUGUGUGUUAAGCUCUUCAAACGAUGGCAGACUUUGUUUGUGGGGCCUUCAGGCUGGGCAGUGUCUGAGGGAAAUCUCCUGGACAAGUCCACUUACCUCUGUCUGCU